RNAcentral lists this small RNA (127 nucleotides) under Marmota monax (woodchuck). The record is from RNAcentral. Lineage: Eukaryota; Metazoa; Chordata; Mammalia; Rodentia; Sciuridae.
GCCAGGCACAGUGGUGCUUGCCUGUAAUCCCAGCAGCUUGGGAGGCUGAGGCAGGAGGAUCGCUAGUUCAAAGCCAGCCUCAGCAACUUAGCAAGGCUCUAAGCAACUUAGUGAGACCCUGUCUCUA